This 823-nucleotide long non-coding RNA is filed under the name Chinchilla lanigera (long-tailed chinchilla). RNAcentral's name for it is "lncRNA (ENSCLAG00000022779.1)". The record is from RNAcentral. Lineage: Eukaryota; Metazoa; Chordata; Mammalia; Rodentia; Chinchillidae.
AGAAUUUCAACACAUGAAUUUGAAGCGGGGACACAAACAUUCCUGCCAUAGCAACUGCCUCUGAAUUCUGUGGGAUGAUUGUCCCAAUUGAACAACAUGAUACAACUGUGGACAUUUUUAGAGCUUUUUCUUUGGAAGAGUCCAAAUGACAUGUUUUAACAUUUAAUAGUAAUGGACGAUAGAGGGAAAUUCACUAUCAAAAUGAAACAGAGUUUGAAUAACUUUUGUUAAAUGAUACAGACUCCAAGAAUCGUCAUGCAAAGAUGGCCGUAGGAGAAAACAUGAAGGAAACAGAAAGAACAACAGACAAACCAAACCAUCUCAGUUGAAUGUGGUCUCAGGUCUUUUGUGUGAAAAGAGACAAGACUGUGCUUCUGCCAUAUUGGAGAUUUCCUGGAACUUCUAAGCAUCUAGACAUUCAGUUUUUAUAAGGACAUUCCAGGCUACAUGCUCAGUAUUAGAUAAGCAGCAUCAGCCAGUGGAAAACUACAGCUGCUCUGCGUAUGGAAAUACUGGUGAGCAGCAUUUCUGGAAACAAGUGGGAGGAGUGGAAGGUUCAAGGCUUGAGUAGGUUUGAAAACAUAGGACACUGGCCUUUAUGAACAGACAGACAUCUCAGUGCCUAAAUACCUCAAUGAUAAACAUAGGCACAGAGAAAAAUAAUAAACCAAGAGAGGACCUUGAGUAGCAACUGGGACUGAAUCUUGGUCAUAAGUCUGAGCCUAUCAACCAGCCAGUUAUUAUAGGAAUACUACAGGAAUGAUACAGGGAAUGAUCACAAAGACCACUGUGAAACUUUGGAAUAAAACACAUAGACGUUCCC